CUCGUAAUGCAUUUUCGCAAUUUACAAUAAAUGUUAUACAUACUUUCACCUAUCUAGUGAGGAAAAAAUAGAAAUUAAAAAAAAAAUGCAAUUUACAACUAUUUCGAAUUAUAGUGCACAGCAAGGACGUAUAUUUGUUUUCCGUCCUUGUGCACAGUUUGUGAUAAAUGGGUGUCAAAAUGUAUUAAACAGAAACCCAAAGACC
This 205-nucleotide long non-coding RNA is filed under the name Mytilus galloprovincialis (Mediterranean mussel). Lineage: Eukaryota; Metazoa; Mollusca; Bivalvia; Mytilida; Mytilidae. The record is from RNAcentral.